CUCGGCUGACGGCUCAGUAACACGUGGAUAAUCUGCCCUUAGGUGGAGGAUAAUCUCGGGAAACUGAGGAUAAUACUCCAUAGAUCUAGGAUGCUGGAAUGCAUCUAGAUUGAAAGCUCCGGCGCCUAAGGAUGAGUCUGCGGACUAUCAGGUUGUAGUCAGGGUAAAGACCUGACUAGCCUACGACGGAUACGGGUUGUGAGAGCAAUAACCCGGAGACGAUAUCUGAGACACGAUAUCGGGCCCUACGGGGCGCAGCAGGCGCGAAAACUUCACACUGUGCGAAAGCGCGAUGAGGGAAUCCCAAGUGUUUGCUCGUAAGAGUAAACUGUUUCUUUGUUUAAAACGCAGAGAGAGUAAGGGCUGGGUAAGACGGGUGCCAGCCGCCGCGGUCAUACCUGCAGCUCAAGUGGUGAUCAUUAUUAUUGGGCCUAAAACGUCCGUAGCCGGUUUAGUAAAUGCCUGGGUAAAUCGUGUAGCUUAACUAUACGACUUCCGGGUAGACUACUAAACUUGAGACCGGGAGAGGCUAGAGGUACUCCUGGGGUAGAGGUGAAAUUCUGUAAUCCUAGGGGGACCACCAGUGGCGAAGGCGUCUAGCUAGAACGGGUCUGACGGUGAGGGACGAAGCCCUGGGGCACAAACCGGAUUAGAUACCCGGGUAGUCCAG
This 670-nucleotide ribosomal RNA is filed under the name uncultured archaeon. RNAcentral describes it as "bacterial SSU rRNA". It matches the Rfam family "Archaeal small subunit ribosomal RNA", at positions 77 to 749 of the family's 1478-position model. The record is from RNAcentral.